This 1026-nucleotide unclassified non-coding RNA is filed under the name Hevea brasiliensis (rubber tree). The record is from RNAcentral. Lineage: Eukaryota; Viridiplantae; Streptophyta; Magnoliopsida; Malpighiales; Euphorbiaceae.
ACAUGGUAAAAGCAGCUACUAUGGUGAGCAGAUUCCUUCAAUUUUAAACUCCAAUGCUGUUUGUUAAAUGAUUAAAGGAAGCAGGGGAGUCCUUUCUAAAAGUUACAUGAAUUAUUUUAAAUCUCCAAUAUUGACCAAUGGCUAAAGACAUUUAGUUUGAGGAAUGCAUAGUUGAAUUGGAAUAUGGGAACUGCAUCCACUACCUCUCCUCUCUCUUUCCCUCAACUGGUCUUUAUCAUUAUACAUGGUGUAGGUGUAUAUUAUCUUUUCUAAACUGAUUAGAGAAAUGCCCGUGUUGAAAUAUUGUCUAACACCAUUAACUAGUGCUUAGAAUCAUGCAUAUUUUGGUUUUUAGCCCUUGAGCUGAAUGUGAGUUAUAGUACUAGUCCCUCAACUCCUUGAUUUGGUCUAAUUAAUUAUCAGUUUAACUCCAAGAAGUGAAAUGUUGGAUAAAUAGCCUAUGAAAGUCCAUGUCAGCAAGGAAAUGUAUGAAAAGAAUGCAAAGGUGUAUUUAUUAUUUGUUGAGGGAAAAAAAAGUAAACUUAGAGGAUGAAAUGUUUAAUUCGUUAUUUUCGUAUUUUUUUAAUCCAAGUCAUCAUACUCAGUGAGUGACUACUUGCAUUUUGUGGCAUGCCUAGUAAGCAUGUUCAAGGCUGGCUCAGCAGAAUUCAACUUUAGUUCAAGAACUUAAUAGCAAUGAUGCACAUAAUUUAAAGGCUUUAAAGUUCUUUUUUUUUUCCUUUAUUUCUGAAAAUAAGAAAACCUUUAUGUGAAAGUGCAGGUGUGUAUGCAUGUUGUUUCUGACAAUUUCGUUACUGCUUGACCUUGUAUUAUGGCUAAAAAAAGGACCGGAUUUCAAAAAGGCUUAUGGUUAACAUGCAAAUAAUUCUGUACCCAGCUUGUUUUUGUUAAUUAUAUAACAUUUCUUUACUUGAAUCAGAUCUCUAGUGAACUUUUAGCAUUCUAAUUGCUUUUUAAUCUCUCCAUCUCCUUAUAUUUCCAGGGAUACCUUGAUAUUGCAAGAAA